GCUGGUGAUAUUGUGAGAUAGACGAGGCUCGUUUAAUACUCGAGUUCGGAUAUUAAUAGAUGGUUCAAGGCCGUAUAAUGCUUCUACAGCGUAGAAAAUGAUGCAUAAAUUGUAUUCAUGUAAUUGAUUUGCAUAUGAACCAGCAAGAAAAUGCCAAAUUGAUCAAAAUUUAAGUGUGUCUAUGUUGUUUUACCUUACUAGCCGCCAUAUUGAUUUUCACGUGGAGCGCAGCCAUUGGACGGGGGAUUCCAGGGCCGCGUUCAAGAUCGUAGCGGCUACGUAGGGCUCGGUAGCGCUACGAUCUUGAACGAUGUGCUAAGUUAGCCCCUACGUAGGGAAAGCUAGCAUAAAAAUUUAGUGCUAAAUUCUAAAGCAAAAUGGCGGAAAAAAAUUGAGAUCUUGCUAAAAUGAGAAUGAUUUUAGCUUAUAUGAACGAUAAUAAUCGGAACAAGUAAAAUCUUUCCGGAAUACGUCACCGCGAUUGGUUUAUUCUACUACUAGAAGUUGUUUACGGGAUUCGAAAAGGCGAGACAAGAAGAACCACUGUGAGUUUGUUACAACUGGCUUUGGGCUGCAUUCUCAAACACACACACUUUAAGUCAUAAGGCAGUUGGAUUUGGUACUGGUGAAGGUUGAAAUCAUGGUUCUGAAGAAUGAGUUAUGAUGGAAGUGAUACAAUGAUGGGACAUUUAACAUCAUACCAGAAUUAAAGAGUCAAUAUAAAGAUUCUUGAAUGAUCAACUUCCAUUGGGGAUGAAGGAUGAAUGAAAAAUCUGUAAAUGAUAUUUUGAUUCAAAUUAAGUAAUAUUUUAUAUAUAAUGAUUCAGAAACAUGCUUACUACCCAAUAUCGCAUGUAUUAAAAAUUAUGCAUGUUGCAUAAACAGUAUCUGUUGCAUUAGAUUAGAAUAAAACUUUAUUAUGAUAUAAAGAAUUUUUUUUUGAAAAAUAAAAUUAAUAUGACAGCUG
Long non-coding RNA from Ostrea edulis (European flat oyster), 967 nucleotides. RefSeq lists it as uncharacterized. The record is from RefSeq and is a predicted model, not a curated record. Lineage: Eukaryota; Metazoa; Mollusca; Bivalvia; Ostreida; Ostreidae. The transcript has 3 exons.